CCUACGGGUGACAGCAGUGAGGAAUAUUGGUCAAUGGACGCAAGUCUGAACCAGCCAUGCCGCGUGCAGGAUGACGGCUCUAUGAGUUGUAAACUGCUUUUGUACGAGGGUAAACCCCGAUACGUGUAUCGUGUUGAAAGUAUCGUACGAAUAAGGAUCGGCUAACUCCGUGCCAGCAGCCGCGGUAAUACGGAGGAUCCGAGCGUUAUCCGGAUUUAUUGGGUUUAAUGGGUGCGUAGGCGGUUUGAUAAGUUAGAUGUGAAAUGUUGAGGCUCAACCACGAAACUGCCUCUAAUACUGUUGGACUAGAGAAUAGUUGCGGUAGGCGGAAUGUAUGGUGUAGCGGUGAAAUGCUUAGAGAUCAUACAGAACACUGAUUGCGAAGGCAGCUUACCAAACUAUAUCUGACGUUGAGGCACGAAAGCGUGGGUAGCAAACAGGAUUAGAUACCCUUGUAGUC
This 460-nucleotide ribosomal RNA is filed under the name uncultured bacterium. Its description in RNAcentral is "partial 16S ribosomal RNA". It matches the Rfam family "Bacterial small subunit ribosomal RNA", at positions 338 to 795 of the family's 1533-position model. The record is from RNAcentral.